Molecule: long non-coding RNA, 1016 nt
Filed under: Cricetulus griseus (Chinese hamster)
Lineage: Eukaryota; Metazoa; Chordata; Mammalia; Rodentia; Cricetidae
Description: lncRNA (ENSCGRG00015039611.1)
Source: RNAcentral
GACUCACUGGCUGCUGAAUUACUUACAGAACACUCUCAGGCCUCAGAGUCCUCAUUUGUGAUGUGAGAACAACGGUGCCUAUCCCAUGAUGUGUUGUGUGACUGGUGAGUGACCAUGUGGAAAGCACCAAGAAGAAGGCUGUCAACAUGAGCAACACAUUUUGGGUGAUUAUACCAAAUCCAGACAUUCUGCAGGCAUAGGAAUAUACUGUAUACAUCGAUGGAUGAACUCCUGGACUUUUUCUCUUCAAAGUCUGAGCUAUUGAUUUUACAGUAAACUGAAAAUAAUUGGCAGAUGUAGAGAACUGGAUUCGUUUGUUUUUAUAAAGCCCCAACUCAAGUUUAAAGUAACUGCAACACAUUUAUACCGCGUAGAUUUCCCCGAUUUCCUUAUUAUUUUAAAGGCUGUUAAUAACUUGGGAUAAUAUCUCGUAUGCAUAAUGUUGGCACAUAGCCAACCACUUUUUCCUUAAUCUCUUUCUAACUCUGCAAAAAGAUCAAACAUUUACUCACUAAGUGAAACUGUUAUUUCAGUUUGCCCAUUGAUUCUUUGGGACUCGAAGCAAAUACUAUCAAGGGGAAAACUUCCACAUCCUAAUGCGCUUGAAUGAAGCCUUUUUCACAGUCAUCUGUUUCUUCUCCUCACUGCCCUUUUUCUAUUGUCAGUUGAAAUUUUGACAGUUUUUUUCUCCCCUUCUUUUCUGGUGUCUCAGUGAUUCCACCACUAUUGGGGAGACUUCAAAGUAAAAUGGAAUACAAUCCAACAUUGGGCAUUAUUGCUUUUUCUUGCUUUGUUUCUACCGUACACCUACUUUUGCAGGGGGUAAAUCACCGAAGGGGAUGAAGGAGCACUCUACCUUCUCCAACUAGUGUAAGGCUGACAGAAGGCAGUCCAAGGGGGCAGUUGUUAGCUUUCUUCUGCAUAAAAGAGCAAUCCAUUCUGUUUUAGUUAUUAUAUGGAGGCAGGAAAUCAAAUGAACAAUUCUGGUCCCUUCACAGUCUACAGUCGGUGCUGCU